RNA transcript from Homo sapiens (human), 3267 nucleotides. It is a transcript of the gene named solute carrier family 25 member 1 pseudogene, with no coding region annotated. Lineage: Eukaryota; Metazoa; Chordata; Mammalia; Primates; Hominidae. The transcript has a single exon. The record is from RefSeq and is marked validated.
GGGCGCCCGCCUCCCGCCCGCCGUGGCCACGCCGCGCCGCGUCCGGGAAGGCCCAGCGGAGGCUCCGGGGAAGGCGACACCAGCAGGCGGCCUGGCCGGCGGCAUUGAAAUGGGCGUCCGCUCCCCACGGAGCGCGGGAGGUCGUAGCUGCAGCCGGACGAGCGCUGGCACCAGCCGGGCACCGCGCAUGGAUCCCGCGUGCGCACUGUCGCGGUCAUGGCGUCCCGGGCCGGCACCGCGGCCUCGGCUCCCUGCUCUGCGGCUCUUGUCUCCAGGGCGGCGUUGGGUUCUGAAUGUUCCAGUUCCACAGCAGCCAGACGCGGGAUGCCCAGGGACGGCCUGACGGCAGCGCUGGCUGCGGUGCGGCCAGGGCGCUGGCGUGGCCGAGGCCAUGGUGGUCGUAUGUUCCAUGGACACCAUCAAGGUGAAGUUCAUCCACGGCCAGACCUUCCCAGACCUCCAGUGCAGAGGAGUCUCCCACCAGGUUAGAGAGAUUGUGCGAGAACAAGGGGACUCACCGGGGCCUCAUGGCACCCACGCUAAAGCAGGGCUGGAACCAGGCCGUCUGCUUCUCCUCCUGACCUCCCUGCACAGCUGGUACCGAGGGGACAACCCCAGCAAGCCCAUGGACCCGCUGGUCGCUGGGGUCUUCGGAGCCAUUGUGGGCGCAGCCAGUGUCUUGGGAAACGCUCCUCUGGAUGGGAUCGAGACCGGAUGCGGGGCCUGGAGCAGCACAAACGCGGAACACACCGGCCUAUGGCUGCAGAUCCUGAGGAAGGAGGGGCUCAAGGACCUCUAGAACGGCACUGUCCCCCGCCUGGGCCGCUGGACCGCGUCUCCCUGGAUGUGACCAGGGAUAAGGGUAACAGUAUUUAUCCUCUACCAGGAGGUGGAGAAGCUGCACAACAGUGUGGAGGAUGGACUAAGCCCAGAGGGGUAAUGAGGGAACCCCCCAGGCACCUCCAGAGCGGCCACCACCCUUGUCUCACAUGAUUCCAGCGCAGAAAUGCCAAAAGGCCCCUGCCCACGUCCCUCGAGCUCUGUGGCCUGCCCUGUGCAUUGUGGUGUCACGUCCAUUUGUCCCCUAGUGCCAUGUCUCCCCGUGGUCUGUACGUGACACUGCGCCUGUGUCCACGAGUCUGGCCCGGCCGUGGCUGGAGGUCCAUCUGGCCUGUGAGUCUGUGCCCACUUGUCCAUGUGCUUAUUGUGAGCCCUGGGCCUGUGAUUCAUUUUCUACGUCAUGCGACACUGCGCCCCGCCUCCCGGGGUGCCAGUGUGGCCUGAGUCCUUGGCCCUGUCAUCCCGGCCCGGGCCCAGUCCACUGCCUUCCACCCUGCCCUGGCCUACCACAGCUGCCUCUGGGCCUCGGCCUGGUUUCACUGCAUUCUUGGGGUUACACCCCUGAACCCCAAAUUCCACCCCUCACCAGCGCUUCUCCUACCAUUGGCUUGACUGGCCCACGGCCCCUCCCUCUGCCCAGGAGAGGGUGACACCCACCACUCUCAGGAUCACCCUGCCAAGGCAGAAUAAACCGGAUCCUAUUGUAAAAAAUAAAAAAUAAAUAAAAAGUAUGAAGCACAGAAGAAAAUAAGCUACGAGGAAAAAGGGUUAGAAGAUUUUUCUUUUUGAGACAGAGUCUUGCUCUGUUAUACAGGCUGGAGUGCAGUGGCCCGAUCUAGGCUCAAUGCAACCUCCGCCUUCCGGGUUCAAGUGAUUCUCCUGCCUCAGCCUCCCGAGUAGCUGGGGUUACAGGCAUGCCUCACCAUGCCCAGCUAAUUUUUGUGUUUUUAGUAGAGAUGGGGUUUCACCAUGUUCACCAGGCUGGUCUGGAACUCCUGGCCUCAAGUGAUGGGAUUGCCUCUCCCUCCCAAUACAGGCAUGAGCCACUGUGCCUGGCCCGGUUGGAAGAAAUUUGAUAUCACAUAAACUUUGCAUACUGGAAAUAUAUUUGUAAUAUUUUAAAUUUUAAAAGUAUUAUAAAUAUAUUUAUAUUUGUACAUAUUAAUAUAAAAUAUUAAAUUUAAAUAUUUUAAAUGUUUAGGUAAAAACAAUUGAGGAAAAGAUGAUAUCCAAAUAAUUUUUGAAAGAGCAGGAAACUAUAAACUGAAUGAGGAAAUUUGGAAAAGAGUCAAAUAGAAAUGGAAUAAUUUAAACAUAAAGAAAUUUAAUAUACGAUAUGUGAGUUAAUUAUAAAAUUAGACUACGUUGAUGAGAGAAUUAGUGAACUGGAUUAAUGAACUGAAAUUUUGAGCAGAACGAAUAUAACCAAAUAAAAGAAAGAGAAACAAAAUAAUAGUAAUAUGAAUGUAAUUAUACAUAUGUGAAGAAUAGAAUGACAAAGAAUAAAGCACAAUUAUUUCACUUGAAUUCAUACAAAUAAUAAGUCAUACUAAUAAAUAAUUAUUUACAAAUUUCUAAAAGUAAAAACCAGACAUGUGCCUAAAAGAGACACUGUGCCUGAAAGCAAGCAAUAAAGAGGCUGGGUGUAGUGGCUCACAUCUGUAAUCACAGCACUUUGCGAGGCCAAGGAGGGCGGGUCACUUGAGGUCAGGAGUUGAAGACCAACCUGGCCAACCAGGUGAAACCCCGUGUCUACUAAAAAUACAAAAAAAUACAAAAAACUUAGCCGGGCAUGGUGUCAGCUGCCUGUGAUCCCAGCUACUCCGGAGGUUGAGGCAGGAGAAUCCCUUGAACCCGAGAGGCGGAGGUUGCAGCGAGCCAAGACUCCAGCCUGGGUGACAGAGCAAGAUUCCGUCACCAAAUUAAAAAAAGAAAAAGCAAUAAAGAAAGAUAUCCAACACCAUAAGUCAAACUGCAUAACACCAAAGAGAAUGAAGAAACUUCAAAGCCAUGAGAGAGAGAGAGAGAAUCUACACAUGUGAGAGUGAAAUCUCCACAGCCCAGGCAGAGCCAGAAAACUGAGAAGGAAAUAUUAAGAGUGCUGAAAAAUUAUUGUUCAACCAGUAACUGAAUACAUAGCUAGCAUAUAUUUAAUAAAUAAGGGUAAACUAAAUAACCUUCAGAAGUAAAACACACACACACACACAAAGAGAAAUUUUAUCUACCAACAGGAGCAUCUUAAGUGUACACUUCAAGAAGAUAGAAAAGUUGUCUUAUAUAAAACUUAAGGGAUCAAAAUUAAAUAUAAGAAACUUGUGGACACAGGGGACUAUGACGGUGGACUUUAAAGAAACCACCAAGUUCUUGGCAGCAUAGUUUUCAAAAGUAUUUAGAUGAAAUAAAAGUGUAAUAAAAUAAUAUAUAAAA